Long non-coding RNA from Vigna angularis (adzuki bean), 505 nucleotides. RefSeq lists it as uncharacterized. The transcript has 3 exons. The record is from RefSeq and is a predicted model, not a curated record. Lineage: Eukaryota; Viridiplantae; Streptophyta; Magnoliopsida; Fabales; Fabaceae.
CUUGCCCUAAGCCAAAGAUCAAAAGUUGACGCGAAGCUCUGUUUGUUGGUCGCCCUAAGGCGUUCUCGUGUUGUUGACGCCAAGCUUUGUUCGUUGGUGGCUGGUGUUUUGUGGUUUGCGUAGGUACGGUUUGUGGUGUUUCCGACAAGGUAGUGGGUCGUACUAGUUAGUGUAUGCGGUAGUGGUGGUGGGUCAUCGAGGUUGGCUUGACGACGGUGUUUGGGUGAAGUUGCCUUGUUAAGUUCGUAGGGGUCGUGGUUUGCAGAGGCUGGCAUCGUCGACCCUUUUGCUUUCGAGGAACUUAAGAACCUAAUGCCUCAACUAUAUUCUGCUGCAAAAUACUGUGAAAAGUCUUAUCUCCAUACUAAACAGAAACAAAUAAUUAAAGGAAGCAAAGAAUGCUAGCUAAAAACACUAAGGCAUUUAUUUAGGAGGAGGAAAGUGCAGAAAGGCUUGGAAAGAUCUCCAGCCUACUGCCACACACACAACAGCUGCUAGUGGAAGG